This 575-nucleotide ribosomal RNA is filed under the name uncultured Aquincola sp. RNAcentral describes it as "bacterial SSU rRNA". It matches the Rfam family "Bacterial small subunit ribosomal RNA", at positions 790 to 1368 of the family's 1533-position model. Lineage: Bacteria; Pseudomonadati; Pseudomonadota; Betaproteobacteria; Burkholderiales; Sphaerotilaceae. The record is from RNAcentral.
GUAGUCCUAGCCCUAAACGGUGCGCAUUUGCUGUAGGAGGAAUCGACCCCUUCUGUGGCGAAGCUAACGCGAUAAAUGCGCCGCCUGAGGAGUACGGUCGCAAGAUUAAAACUCAAAGAAAUUGACGGGGGCCUGCACAAGCGGUGGAGUAUGUGGCUUAAUUCGAUGCAACGCGAAAAACCUUACCUACCCUUGACAUGCCAGGAAUCCUGCAGAGAUGUGGGAGUGCUCGAAAGAGAGCCUGGACACAGGUGCUGCAUGGCCGUCGUCAGCUCGUGUCGUGAGAUGUUGGGUUAAGUCCCGCAACGAGCGCAACCCUUGUCAUUAGUUGCUACGAAAGGGCACUCUAAUGAGACUGCCGGUGACAAACCGGAGGAAGGUGGGGAUGACGUCAGGUCCUCAUGGCCCUUAUGGGUAGGGCUACACACGUCAUACAAUGGCCGGUACAGAGGGUUGCCAACCCGCGAGGGGGAGCCAAUCCCAGAAAACCGGUCGUAGUCCGGAUCGCAGUCUGCAACUCGACUGCGUGAAGUCGGAAUCGCUAGUAAUCGCGGAUCAGCAUGUCGCGGUGAAUA